AGAGUUUGAUCCUGCCUCAGAUUGAACGCUGGCGGCAGGGCUAACACAUGCAAGUCGAGCGGUAGAGAGAAGCUUGCUUCUUUUGAGAGCGGCGGACGGGUGAGUAAUGCCUAGGAAUCUGCCUAGUGGUGGGGGAUAACGUUCGGAAACGGACGCUAAUACCGCAUACGUCCUUCGGGAGAAAGCGGGGGACCUUCGGGCCUCGCGCCAUUAGAUGAGCCUAGGUCGGAUUAGCUAGUUGGUGAGGUAAUGGCUCACCAAGGCUACGAUCCGUAACUGGUCUUAGAGGAUGAUCAGUCUCACUGGAACUGAGACACGGUCCAGACUCCUACGGGAGGCAGCAGUGGGGAAUAUUGGACAAUGGGCGAAAGCCUGAUCCAGCCAUGCCGCGUGUGUGAAGAAGGUCUUCGGAUUGUAAAGCACUUUUAGUUGGGAGGAUGGGUAGAAACUUAAUACGUUGCUACUUUGACGUAACCGACAGAAUAAGCACCGGCUAACUUCGUGCCAGCAGCCGCGGUAAUACGAAGGGUGCAAGCGUUAAUCGGAAAAACUGGGCGUAAAGCGCGCGUAGGUGGUUCAGUAAGUUGAAUGUGAAAUCCCCGGGCUCAACCUGGGAACUGCAUCCAAAACUGCUGAACUAGAGUACGGUAGAGGGUAGUGGAAUUUCCUGUGUAGCGGUGAAAUGCGUACAUAUAGGAAGGAACACCAUUGGCGAAGGCGACUACCUGGACUGGUACUGACACUGAGGUGGGAAAGCGUGGGGAGCAAACAGGAUUAGAUACCCUGGUAGUCCACGCCGUAAACGAUGUCAACUAGCCCUUGGGAGUCUUGAACUCUUAGUGGCGCAGCUUACGCAUUAAGUUGUCCGCCUGGGGAGUACGGCCGCAAGGUUAAAACUCAAAUGAAUUGACGGGGGCCCGCACAAGCGGUGGAGCCUGUGGUUUAGUUCGAAGCAACGCGAAGAACCUUACCUGGGCUUGACAUGCUGAGAACUUUCUAGAGAUAGAUUGGUGCCUUCGGGAACUCAGACACAGGUGCUGCAUG
Molecule: ribosomal RNA, 1044 nt
Filed under: Pseudomonas sp. Me14
Lineage: Bacteria; Pseudomonadati; Pseudomonadota; Gammaproteobacteria; Pseudomonadales; Pseudomonadaceae
Description: bacterial SSU rRNA
Rfam family: Bacterial small subunit ribosomal RNA
Source: RNAcentral